This 72-nucleotide transfer RNA is filed under the name Marmota monax (woodchuck). It matches the Rfam family "tRNA". From Rfam's summary of the family: Transfer RNA (tRNA) molecules are approximately 80 nucleotides in length. Their secondary structure includes four short double-helical elements and three loops (D, anti-codon, and T loops). Lineage: Eukaryota; Metazoa; Chordata; Mammalia; Rodentia; Sciuridae. The record is from Rfam by way of RNAcentral.
UGGAGUGUAGCUCCGUGGUAGAGUGCUUGCCUAGCAUGCAUGAGGCCCUGGGUUCAAGUCCCAGCACCACAC